Molecule: long non-coding RNA, 2429 nt
Filed under: Marmota monax (woodchuck)
Lineage: Eukaryota; Metazoa; Chordata; Mammalia; Rodentia; Sciuridae
Source: RNAcentral
CCCCACUCCUGCCUCUCCUUUUACUUGGAGGCUGGGAUUGCUCUUCAUUUGGGGCUUCCUGCUACAUGGCAGGGUGGAAAGAGUUUGCCUUUGGUUUGGGAUGAGAUGCCUGUCAGGGAGGGUAAGGCCCAUAUGACCCCAGGCUAAAUGGAGGGUUGGAUGUCCCCCUUCUGUGGAGAGGCUGGGGCUUUGGUGGGUGGAAAGUAAGGGAGAAAUCAGCUCUGAAGGACAAAUGUUCUAACAGAGCCCUGCAUCUGUAAAAGGUGGGAGGCGCUCCCAGAAAUGGCUCUAGGGAGUAUUCUAGGGGAAGGUGGGGGCCAUGUGCCCCAGGCUGCUGGAGGAGGCUCUGUCCUGAGGAACUUGGGCUCCUGACAUCGACAGCUUCCUCAGAUUCUAGGAGGCUGUGAAUUAGUGCCAGAAGCAGAGUCCUGGAUGGUCUAGCUGUCGUCUGGCCGCCAUGUGCGUCUGUGUGCCUGUGUGUGUGCCUGCGUGUGUUUCUGCCCUCCAGGUAAGUUUUAAGCUUGUUGCUCCUUAGUCCUGAAUCCCCACCUGUCCUGAGGAUGGAAACUGGGAAUGCCACCGAUCCUGGCCGUGAGUUCAAUGCGAAGCCAGUGGAAGAAAUGCUGGCACCACCAGACGUACACACAGCCAGACACCACAGGGACAGGGCCGAGCAGAAAGCCAGGCCCGCGAGGUCUGAAGGGCUCAGCAGUGGAGCGGCAAAGGGCAGAGGAGCGGUGUUGGCUGUUUUGUCUCUGCCCUGAAACUCCCCAUGGCUCCUUGGACACCAGGAUGGCAACUCUGAAAAUGGCCCAGAUGGUCAGGAGGCUCCCCAGGAGCAAGUGAGGGGCAGAUAGCCCAGAGUGGGAAAGAAGGAGGUGCGGUGGCCCCAGACCACUGCUGGCUCAUGUCAGAGGCUUGGGGACAAAGUUAGGAGAUAAAGGCAGACUCCAGAGAAAGGGCACCUCCUCUGGGGGGGCGCAGGAGGCCCCUCUGGCUGUGCUCAAGUGUAGCACAUGAUGUGAGGGAGCUCAAGACCACUUUAAGUGGUAAGCAGUGUGUGUGGUGUGUGUGUGUGUGUGUGUGUGUGUAGAGAUGCUCAUUUGGUUUGUGUAGUCAUUAGCCCAAAUACUGAAGCCCUUGAGCCCUCCUGUUCUGCAUCCAUCACAGGGCCCCUGGUGGGAAGUGGGAAGUGACCCUCAUGGGUUCCUGGGAGCAUUCCAAGGCCCAUCAGUCUGUGUGGGAAGGGAGAAGGGGGAGAGGAUUCUUCAGGUGCCUGCGGGGAUGGCCUUAGCCUCAGGGUCUCCCAGCUUAGCAUACUCACCUCAGGUUCAGUUUCCCACCUACUGCCCUUUCCCUUGGGCCAGCUUCAUCUCCUGACUUUGUCCCCCAGGCCUCUGACAUGACCAUAGCAGGUGGUCAUCAUUGACCUUGAAAUUGGGCCAAGGUGACUGCUGUUGUGCCACCCUGGACUCCGAGCACACUGGAGUUCCCUGGGCCAGCUACACGGGGGUCCUGUCAUCAUGUGGACUCUCAGCCCUUGUCACUGUCUGUGUCCUGGCAGCAACUCUGUCUCUGCACUCCACAAUGCAGCCCUCCUGAACCGACAGAUUUGAGGACUUUCUUGCUCAGAAGCCUUGAGCAGGGGCCAGCCGCAGUGCUGUCAGCUGACAGCAGCAGCCUUGUGUCUGUGCUGCAGUCAGCUCCGCAUCUGAGAGCUGUCGGGGCUCCACGCCUGGGCCUGAGCUGCGCUCGCUCUCCCCAGGACCAGGAGGGCCUUCUCAAGGGUGGAGGUCUUUCUGCAAAGAGGUGGGUCAGCUGCACAUGCAAGGCAAUCCUGGGUGGGGGAGGGCUGCUGCUGGGAGCACCUCCCUUCCCAGCACGCCACUCGCACACAGUGCUGGAUGGCUCACAGUCUGCACAGCCCUGUGUUCAGGCUGCCUGGUGUCACCUGCCUCACCUCAGCCAGACACCUGAGUACGGUGGCCAGGGCGGGUAGCAACAAAGGGCAGGGAACAGGAAAGCAGCUGGUUUCCAAGUGUCUAGUCACAGGUGGCCCUGAUAAGCUGCUGCCAUGGGCCAGACCUGGCCCGGGAGCCGGGGUGAAUGAAAUGCUCAUGAUGCUCAUGACACCCGGCUUCCUCUCGUGGCCAUCAGGUGCGCACGGGCGGCGCUGCCUCUUAGCUUCUCUCUCUUACCAUGCUUCUUUCUGGGCCAUCUGCAAGAAGUUCUAUGGGGAUUUCCCUGAAUUUUAAACAUGAGCAUGUGACCCCAGAAUCCAUGCUGGCUGAUGUCAUUCCAGGGCCGAGUUCUUCUGUUUUUUAGCACAUGUGGUGGAUUCUAUGAGAAUUUUCCAAGAGCCCUUGGCGGCUUGGCCUUUUUCUACUGGUGGGGAAACAAAUUAAACCCAAUUAGCUCUUCGCCUUUGG